RNAcentral lists this ribosomal RNA (253 nucleotides) under uncultured bacterium. Its description in RNAcentral is "partial 16S ribosomal RNA". It matches the Rfam family "Bacterial small subunit ribosomal RNA", at positions 524 to 776 of the family's 1533-position model. The record is from RNAcentral.
UACGUAGGGGGCGAGCGUUGUCCGGAUUUAUUGGGCGUAAAGAGCGUGUAGGCGGUUCGGUAAGUCUGUCGUGAAGUCCUGAGGCUUAACUUCGAAACUGCAUUCGAUACUGCCGUGCUUGAGGACUGGAGAGGAGACUGGAAUUUACGGUGUAGCGGUGAAAUGCGUAGAUAUCGUAAGGAAGACCAGUGGCGAAGGCGGGUCUCUGGACAGUUCCUGACGCUGAGGCACGAAGGCCAGGGGAGCAAACGGG